AACGCACAUUGCGCCCGCUAGUAUUCUGGCGGGCAUGCCUGUUCGAGCGUCAUUUCAACCCUCAAGCCUAGCUUGGUGUUGGAGAUCAGCCCUAAACCGCUGUCUCUGAAAUAUAGUGGCUGUCUCGCUGUAGCUUCCUCUGCGUAGUAAUUUUUCUCGCUCUGGAGUCUCGGUGCGGCCACGCCGUUAAACCCCCCACUCUUUAAGGUUGACCUCGAAUCAGGUAGGAAUACCCGCUGAACUUAA
This 246-nucleotide unclassified non-coding RNA is filed under the name uncultured fungus. RNAcentral's name for it is "partial contains 5.8S ribosomal RNA, internal transcribed spacer 2, and large subunit ribosomal RNA". The record is from RNAcentral. Lineage: Eukaryota; Fungi.